CGCUAGCGGCUCGCCUCUACAUGCACGUCUGACGGGAUCCAUCGGAGAGCUUGCUCGUACAUGGUGAGAGUGGCGCACGGGUGCGUAACGCGUGAGCAACCUACCUCUAUCCCGGGGAUAGCCUCUCGAAAGAGAGAUUAACACCGCAUAACAUCAACAGUUCCCAUGUUCGGUUGAUUAAAUAUUUAUAGGAUAGAGAUGGGCUCGCGUGACAUUAGCUAGUUGGUAGGGUAACGGCCUACCAUGGCUACCAUCUCUAGGGGCUCUGAGAGGAGAAUCCCUCACACUGGUACUGAGACAGGAUCAAACUCUCAACGGGAGGCAAUUUUGAACAAUGUUGGAAACCGGGCGGAAGCCUGACCCGCGUGGGAUGAAGGAGGACGACUGCCCUAUGAGUUGUAAACUGCUUUUGCGCAGGAAUAUACUACCCCCUGGAAUUUAGCUGACUGUACUGGAAGAACAGGGAUCGUAUAUGUCCGUGCCGGCGGCGCGUGUAUACGGAUGAUCCGAGUGUUAUCCACAUUUAUUGAGUCUAACGGCUGCG
Molecule: ribosomal RNA, 544 nt
Filed under: Bacteroidetes bacterium SB27
Lineage: Bacteria; Pseudomonadati; Bacteroidota
Description: bacterial SSU rRNA
Rfam family: Bacterial small subunit ribosomal RNA
Source: RNAcentral